Molecule: long non-coding RNA, 368 nt
Organism: Coregonus clupeaformis (lake whitefish)
Lineage: Eukaryota; Metazoa; Chordata; Actinopteri; Salmoniformes; Salmonidae
Exons: 3
Source: RefSeq, a predicted model, not a curated record
CUUCCAAUCUGUAUGCAUUUCUCUAAACUGAGAUCAGUCUCUCUGAGUAAGCGCUCUCUUAAGUGUGGGUCACAUGUGCCACACACAAUCCUGUCCCUGAUAAGAGAGUCUGUGAUUACUCCAAAGUUGCAGGUGGCCACUGGAGUCCUCAAUUCAGUGAGAUAUUUGUCUAAACUCUCAUCUUGGCCCUGACUUCGCAUGAAAAAAAUUAUAUCUCUCAAUUGUUUCAUUUUUCUUGGGAUCACAAAAUGCAUCCAGUGCUGCAAUUACUUCCUCAACAGAGAGAUUGUCUUUUGUACUGCCCACACAGUCUCACAAAUAUCUCUGCCUUUUUCCCCAAUGAGAUAAUACAGUAGCUUCACUUUGUA